GUGUAUCCCAGAUGUCUCCAACUCUACCCAGGUGUGUCUAACCCCGCCCAGGUGUGCCCCAGGUGUGCCCAGGUGUAUCCCAGGUGUCUCUAAUCACACCCAGGUGUAUCCCAGGUGUGCCCAGGUGUGCCCAGGUGUGUCACAGGUGUGCCCAGGUGUAUCCCAGAUGUCUCCAACUCUACCCAGGUGUGUCUAACCCCGCCCAGGUGUAACCCAGGUGUGUCCAGGUGUAUCCCAAUCACACCCAGGUGUGUCAGCACUCACCUGUCUCUGCUCCACCUGCGUGGAGCCGUCCAGGCACAAGUCGAUGUGCCCAGGUGUGUCCCAGGUGUGACACAGAUGUGCCCAGGUGUCUCUAACUACACCCAGGUGUGUCCAAGUGUGCUCAGGUGUGUCCCAGGUGUGCCCAGGUGUAUCCCAGGUGUCUCUAAUCACACCCAGGUGUCUCCCAGGUGUAUCUCAGGUGUGCCCAGGUGUUUUUUGGACUCACCUGUCUCUGUUCCACCCUCGUGGAGCCGUCCAGGCGCAGGUAGAUGUGCCAGGUGUGUCACAGGUGUGCCCAGGUGUAUCCCAGGUGUCUCUAAUCACACCCAGGUGUCUCCCAGGUGUAUCUCAGGUGUGCCCAGGUGUUUUUUGGACUCACCUGUCUCUGUUCCACCCUCGUGGAGCCGUCCAGGCGCAGGUAGAUGUGCCCAGGUGUAUCCCAGGUGUCUCUAAUCACACCCAGGUGUGACACAGGUGUGCCCAGGUGUGCCCAGGUGUGUCUCAGGUGUUUUUGUGACUCACCUGUCUCUGUUCCACGCGGGUGGAGCCGUCCAGGCGCAGGUAGAUGUGCCCAGGUGUGACACAGGCGUGCCCCAGGUGUAUCCCAGGUGUCUCUAAUCACACCCGGGUGUGUACCCAGGUGUGUCAAACCCCACCCAGGUGUAUCCCAAUCACACCCAGGUGUGUCCCAGGUGUGUCCCAGGUGUGCCCAGGUGUGUCAGCACUCACCUGUCUCUGCUCCACCCGCGUGGAGCCGUCCAGGCGCAGGUAGAUGUGCCCCAGGUGUGUCACAGGUGUGCCCAGGUGUGCCCGGUGUAUCCCAGGUGUGCCCAGGUGUGUCUCAGGUGUCUCCAAUCCUACCCAGGUAUAUCUGACCCCACCCAGGUGUAUCUCAGGUGUAUCCGAGGUGUCUCCAACUACACCCAGGUGUAUCCCAAUCACACCCAGGUGUAUCCCAGGUGUGUCUGACCCCACCCAGGUGUAUCCAGGUGUAUCCCAAUCACACCCAGGUGUGCCCAGGUGUCUCUCAGGUGUUUUUGUGGCUCACCUGUCGCUGUUCCACCCGCGUGGAGCCGUCCAGCCGCAGGUAGAUGUGCCCAGGUGUGCCCAGGUGUGUCACAGGUGUGUCUAACCCCACUCAGGUGUCUCUCAGGUGUUUUUGUGGCUCACCUGUCGCUGUUCCACCCGCGUGGAUCCGUCCAGCCGCAGGUAGAUGUGCCCGUGGAAGGUGAGGAACCGCUCCAGC
RNAcentral lists this long non-coding RNA (1510 nucleotides) under Zonotrichia albicollis (white-throated sparrow). RNAcentral describes it as "lncRNA (ENSZALG00000004933.1)". The record is from RNAcentral. Lineage: Eukaryota; Metazoa; Chordata; Aves; Passeriformes; Passerellidae.